GUGCCUCUGUCGAUAUUCCAUUAAACAAAUCAGACAUUUCCAGCUAUAAUAGUCAUUUAUGACAAACAAUUUCAACACUGUAUUUCCGAUCAUUUUUGUUACUUUAAUGAACAAAUUGUGAGUCAGCUAUGUUUAUGCCCGGUUUACACCUUUUUUUCACCAUUUACAGUUUUUCUCAAUCGCUUUGGCUCAUUUCUUGAAACAAUCUUAACAUUCUCUAAAAUGUAAGCACUAUCACCACAACUGUUUCAUGGGACAUCAUAACUAUGGCAUGUCUGCAAAAUGUAGUAACUCACCCAAAACAUUUAAUUCAUGCUUCAAAACCUAGUUAUAGUGUCAGUAAAUUGGCCAUUGCCACCAAAAUGAAAAUAUAUUCUCUUCAGGUGAGCCAUACUGGUCAAAAUGUUUAGAUGUUUUUUCACCAUGGCAUUCAACCCUGGAAAUGUGUUAUACAGUUCUGCUCAAAAGUUUGCAUACCCUUGGAGAAUUGGUAAUAUGUACAUGUAAAAAAAACAAAAAAACAUGAGUGAGCAGGCAAAAUCCAUCUUUGGUUUCUUAUGGGAUUCACAUCCAACUGUAGGUCAUAGAAUGUCACCAUCAUAAAACAAAACAUGCCAACAAAACAAAAAAAAUUUUACUGACCCCUGUUCAAAAGUCUGCCUACCCUUAGUUCUUAAUACUGUGCAUUGCCCCAUUUAGCAUCAAUGACAGUGUACAGUCUUAUGUAAUAGUUGCCUGAAUUCUUGCACAUGGUAUACUUGCCCAUUCGUCUUGGCAAAAUGCAUCAUCUUUGGUCGUCUUGCAUCAACCGCAAGUUUGAGUUCUCCCCAGAGUGGCUCGAUGAUAUUAAGGCCAGGAGACUGUGGUGGCCACUCCAGAACCUUCUCCUUUUUCUGCUGUAACCACUGGAGGAUCAACUUGGGCCUUGUGCUUAAGGUCAUUGUUGUGCUGGAAAGUCCAAGAGUGUCCCAUGUUCAGCUUUUGUGCAGCAGAAUGCAAAUUGUCUGCCAGUAUUUUCUGAUAACAAGCUGCAUUCUUUCUUGCCAUACAUUUUCAUAAGAUUCCUUGUGCCUUUAGAGCACAAAACAUCAGUGAGCCAUCACCAUGCUUCACAGUGGUGAUGGUAUUCUGUUCACUAUAGGCUUUGUUGACCCCUCUCCAAACAUAGCGCUUAUGGUUCUGACCAUAAAGCUCUAUUUUGGUCUCAUCGCCAGACCUGUGAGGCGAAUCAAGGUGUUGUCGGGCAUAUUGUAACCAGGCUUUUUAUCUGGCAUCGGCACAGCAAAGGCUUCUUUCUGGCAACUCCACCACGCAGCUAAUUUCUGUUCAAAUAUCGUCGUAUUGUGCUCCUUGAAACAACCAUAUUGUCUUUUUCCAGAGCAGCCUGUAUUUCUCCUCAGGAUACCUGUGAGUUUUUCUUUGUAUCCUGAACAAUUAAGACAGUUUUGGCUGAAAUCUUUCUUGGUCUACCUGAACUUGGCUUGGUAUCAAGAGAUCCCAAAAUUUUCCAGUUCUUAAUAAGUGAUUGAACAGUACUGACUGGCAUUUGCAAGGCUUAGGAUAACAUUCAUGGGUAUGCAAUUUUGAUCAGGGCCAUUUGGGUGAUUUGAGUAAUCUUUAUGCUUUAAAAAAAGAGCCAAACAACUGUGAUAAUAAAUGACUUAAAGUAUUACUUUCUUUAAAUAAAAUACUUUUGUUGCAUGAUCAGUCAUUUUCAAAAUCAAUGCCAAAGGUUUCUGCCAGGGUAUGCAAACCUAUGAGCACAAUUGAAUACAAACAACACUUUUGUUCUACUUUUCUAGUAAAUGCUGGUGUGUAUCACACUGAGCUUUAGAUACCGGUUUCAACAGUGGUAGAGGUUUACUGGGAAAAGGGAACACUAUAAUUCUUUAGUACACUGAAAAAGGAUAUGCACAUCUGUGCGUAUACAGUAAAUUUAGCAAUGUGUUACAUGGAAACAGAAAAUUCACUUCUGCAUGUCAAGUUAUACAUAUUUCUUACAUAUAAAGUCAUAUAUAGCGAGCUGAAAAAUCCCCACAAUCCAUGAAAACAAAAAAACUGCAACAAUACAAAAUCAUGUGGCAAUUCUGUAAAAAACAAUGAACUGUAUCUCCUCGCAGUACAGAACACUACUAAGAUACCAACUUUUUGGUGGACAUCCUGUCACUCUUCUUGGUCUGGCAAGAUAUUUUCGACAACAUCACAUGUAAUGUUUUCCCUUGUAAUGCACCGGGGAAAAAAUUUAUUAAAAAAAAAAUCACCUGCCUAUUCCUAUUUCAUUAUGUCACCCGGCAAGUCAUUUGCAAAUAUAGCAGAUUUCACUAACAUUCCAUGUCAUAAAUAUGUAUGGAAUGUACAUUUAUGUCUGACAGAUUUGGUAAUUGAAUGGAUCAUUUUGCAUGUGAUGCCUCACACGAUGAAAGAAUGUUCAGAACUUGUGAAGAAAAUUACAAUUUCAAUGAGAAUCAACUCAUCAAUUUUGAUCAGAAAGCCAUAUUGUGAAAUUCAUAGACAAUUGUACUUACUCUUUUGC
Long non-coding RNA from Esox lucius (northern pike), 2533 nucleotides. NCBI's taxonomy places the organism in Eukaryota, Metazoa, Chordata, Actinopteri, Esociformes, Esocidae. The record is from Ensembl.